Molecule: non-coding RNA, 2245 nt
Organism: Amborella trichopoda
Lineage: Eukaryota; Viridiplantae; Streptophyta; Magnoliopsida; Amborellales; Amborellaceae
Source: RefSeq, a predicted model, not a curated record
UUUUUUUUUUUAACAUUUUUUUAACCAUCCGGGAUUUACCCGGUUAGAGCGGUUGAAUCGGCCUGUUUACCGAUUAGACAGGAUAAACCGCUUUCAAGUUCAUAUCCAGGGCUCGAUUUUGCGAAUUCUGGUCAUGACAGUUAUGUCUGCUAGCAUGCUUCUACGUCAGGAGAAAGUCAUGUUCAGUUUCACCUUUGUCCAUAUGCUUCUAGGUCAGGAGAAAGUCAUGUUCAGUUUCACCUUUGUCCAUUCUGUUCCCAAAGAGCAUUAUCCUCCAAGGAAGAACACAUGUUUGAGCUUUGAAAAAUAAAAAAGAAAUUACGGAAAAUGGUUAAGUGGCCCUGGGUCCAAAUGAACAAUUUGGACUCCCAUUUCAACCUCUUUAUUAGGCAUGUUUGAUUGAUACCAAACCCUCAAAACCAUAUUUAUCAUAAGGAUUGUAUAGGCUAUUUAUUUUUUGUAUAAGGAAGUCACAUUCCCUUUUAGCCAUUGGGUGAGAAAUCCAAUAGAUAAAAGUGUGUCACAACAUUUGAAAAUAUUUAUUUUGAACUUUGUACCUAAACAACGAUACAUCUUCAACCAUCCGAUUGUAAAUCUAAUGGUCAAUAAUGACUGUGACAUCCUUGUAUAAAAAAUAAGUGGUCUUAUCAUAUACAAUUCCUUUAUCAUAAUCUAAGAUCAAAUUCAUUUGUAUGCUUAGAAAAUGCCAAAUUAAAUCAUCCCUCAAGAUUGAAUAUGCAGUCUCCAUUUUUGUUCUAAGGAAUUUUGAGCCUAGAAAUUUUUCUUUUCGUAAUUGAUCCUAGAUUGCAUCACAGAUAGCUCAGAAGAGUUUAGUAAACAACUACACAAGUCCCCCUUUCUAGAUGCUCUGGCCUGGCCCCCAAACUACAAUUUUUGCCUGCUGGACCACCAUGCACACCCCUAAAGUUUAUUCGGCUCGUUGGCUAGGAAAUCUGGCGAGAAAAUUAUUUUUAGGGCGAAGGCUAGUAGGAUUCACAUUUCUUUUCUUUUUUAGGCUUGAAAUUUAGAAAAUAAUUAUGAGGAAAAUAUUUUUCUCCAUUGAAAAUUAGAUCCAAAGUCAAAAUAUAUGUUCUCCAUGGAAAACAUUACCAAGAAAAACAUUUCUAGGGAUCCAAACCAACCCUUAAUGCACAUAAAUAUUCUACAUAAAAAUAGUUAUUCUACUUGCAAUACUUCCAAAAAAUGGAGAUAACGAAGUUAUAUUGCAAGUAGAGGUGUUUACACGGGCAUGGGAAUUGGGCUUGGUCUUGGGCUUGAGUGGUCAUUGACGUACAACAAUACUACAUUUUAAGUUCAAUUCUUAGCACUGAACAGCCCAAACAAACCAAAACAAAAUGGGAGGGUGAGGGAGUGCCUUCUUUCUACUACGUUUUUUAUUUUCCUAAAACUAAUACUUUCCUUUGGUGUUUUUAUCGAACCGCUUCGCAAUUUUUGCGUGUAAUCGCUGACGAUGUUAAUCUUUUAUGUCAUUUCAAUUUUAUUAGAUAUCUCCAAAAUCUUUUCCCUUCGGGGUAGUUCAAUAGUAGGAAUCAAACUUGAGAUAUUGUGCUACUAAUGUCAACUGCUAACCACUCGAGCUCGAUCUCGACUCAAUUUUCCUUUGGUCAUCGAAUGCUGAAACCAUACCAUAAUGCCUAAGUGAAGAACCACCUUUUACCUCUAACUUUUGAAUGAAGUUAUUGAUACAUAUUUUUUUCAUUUUUGAAUGAAUUGUGCAGCAUGUGGAGUGAGUGGCUCCUUGUAUGGGCUCAUGUUGUUGAUCGUGGGGUGCGCAUGUUGCUACUCAUGCUUCUACCGUUCAAAGUUAAGGAGCCAAUAUAACCUCUCAAAGUCACCUUGUGCCGAUUGCCUUGUUCACUUUUUCUGUGAAGGAUGCGCCUUGUGCCAGGAGUACAGAGAACUCAAAGCUCGUGGUUUCGACAUGUCUAUUGGUUGGAUUGGAAACAUGGAGAAGCAGACUCGAGGGGUGACCACCAUGCCACCGUCCAUGGCAGGAGGCAUGACUAGAUAAGCUCUAUUCAUUGCUUUUAUUUGUGCAGGGUUUGUUUAAGGGUGUGGUUUAUAUGAGGUCGUGGCCCUAAACAAUUAAAGUAGGGCGCACCUUAAAAUAAUAUUUCAGUAUCAGAAAUCUUUAUGAUGGCCUAAAAAUUUAUUUUCAUCUCUAAUUAGAAAAUUUAAAGUUAAAAAAUAAUGUAGAUCGAGCAAAUAUAUGAGCACUUAGAAA